CCUACGAGAGGCAGCAGUGAGGAAUAUUGGUCAAUGGACGCAAGUCUGAACCAGCCAUGCCGCGUGCAGGAAGACGGCUCUAUGAGUUGUAAACUGCUUUUGUACGAGGGUAAACGCAGAUACGCGUAUCUGUCUGACAGUAUCGUACGAAUAAGGAUCGGCUAACUCCGUGCCAGCAGCCGCGGUAAUACGGAGGAUUCAAGCGUUAUCCGGAUUUAUUGGGUUUAAAGGGUGCGUAGGCGGUCGGAUAAGUUAGAGGUGAAAUCCCGAGGCUCAACUUCGGAAUUGCCUUUGAUUCUGUUCGGCUAGAGAGUAGUGGCGGUAGGCGGAAUGUAGGGUGUAGCGGUGAAAUGCUUAGAGAUCAUACAGAACACCGAUUGCGAAGGCAGCUUACCAAGCUACUUCUGACGUUGAGGCACGAAAGCGUGGGGAGCAAACAGGAUUAGAUACCCCGUAGUC
Molecule: ribosomal RNA, 459 nt
Filed under: uncultured bacterium
Lineage: Bacteria
Description: partial 16S ribosomal RNA
Rfam family: Bacterial small subunit ribosomal RNA
Source: RNAcentral